RNAcentral lists this long non-coding RNA (1052 nucleotides) under Heterocephalus glaber (naked mole-rat). RNAcentral's name for it is "lncRNA (ENSHGLG00000037013.1)". The record is from RNAcentral. Lineage: Eukaryota; Metazoa; Chordata; Mammalia; Rodentia; Bathyergidae.
CGCACCCCCCUUCGCUGGUUUUUUUUUUUUUUUAGAUCCAGGGAGAGGAACUUGAAAGGGGGGUUGUGUAAUGUACCUUUUCCAAUCCCGGGCUGUAUAUGGAGAUUUGGGAUUCUUUAAACCGGCGCUACCUGGAUUUUAUUAAAAAGCGGGGAGCUCGGCGGGAGGAAAGCUGGCUUUUCCGGGGGCUGCGGGAGCGGGGCCGCGGGAGGGCGGAGGAGUUGGCGCGCAGAGCGCUCGGCCCAGGGAGCGGUUUUCUACCAAAAAAAGGAAAGGCGGGCAAAAAGUGUGAAGCGGCUGCGGGUGGCGGAGGGGAGCGGCGGCCGCGGGAUGGCGGGCAGCACAGGCGCUUAGCCGCGCCGGGAGCCGGGGCCGCCGCCGGAGUCGCUGUUGCCGGAGCCCGGAGCCGGGAGCCCCGCCGCGCCAGACGCUGUGUGUGCCACCUCGCGCAGCUCCGCCUGGUCGCCCGGAGGGGUUCCACCGCCCGCCGGCCGCGCGCCCCAGGCGGGCCCGCCACCGAGCGCCAGCCGCGGCCAUGCACACUACGGAGCCCCCGCCACCCGAGGACUCUGGGACUACGUUGAGGCUAAACUUUUAGGUCCCACGGAGUGAGGCCUGCGGGCCGGGUGGGGGGCUGGCCGCGGCACUCCCGCGGAGGAUGGAUGGCCGAGACUUCGGGCCCCAGCGGUCCGUGCAUGGCCCCCCGCCGCCGCUGCUGUCCGGCUUGGCCAUGGACAGCCACCGCGUGGGCGCGGCUACUGCCGGACGCUUGCCUGGCUCCAGCUUGCCCGGCCCGCUGCCGCCCGGGAAGUACAUGGCCGGCCUCAACCUCCACCAGCACCCGGUAGGUGUGUGGUGACCCCCCCCGGGGGGGGGGGACCCUUGUUUUCUGGCUGGAGCAAGGGCACUCGGUGCAGACGCUGAAACCGAGCCGCUGCUACCGCGAUCCUAGGGGAAAGAGGCCACCCGGAGAGUGGCAACCUGCCCAUGGUGCAGCUGUGGGCCCCCCAUGCCCAUGAAGGCUUCUCCCACCUGCCCAGUGGGCUGUACCC